CGAGACAAAAGAUACUAAGAAAUCCCGUGAAGAUAUGGUGGUGAUGGAUAUACGACAAGAGUUAUCCCCAAAAGAAAUAGGAAAUAAAACAUAUUUUCCCCCAGCUUGUCACACUCCAGUCUAAAAAAGAAAAAAAAUUACAAAUGUUUACAGGGUAUCAAAGUUACCCAAGGGUACUCAUCAAAUGUUAAGAAACUUGUAUCAAUGAAAGUUCUCAAAUG
This 221-nucleotide long non-coding RNA is filed under the name Lathyrus oleraceus (garden pea). RNAcentral describes it as "Pisum sativum (pea) long non-coding RNA (PSAT_LNC001666)". The record is from RNAcentral. Lineage: Eukaryota; Viridiplantae; Streptophyta; Magnoliopsida; Fabales; Fabaceae.